AGAGUUUGAUCAUGGCUCAGAUUGAACGCUGGCGGCAUGCCUUACACAUGCAAGUCGAACGGUAACGCGGGGGCAACCCUGGCGACGAGUGGCGAACGGGUGAGUAAUACAUCGGAACAUAUCCAGUAGCGGGGGAUAACCUAUCGAAAGAUGGACUAAUACCGCAUACGAUCUACGGAUGAAAGCAGGGGACCGCAAGGCCUUGCACUAUUGGAGUGGCCGAUGUCGGAUUAGCUAGUUGGUGAGGUAAAGGCUUACCAAGGCGACGAUCCGUAGCUGGUCUGAGAGGACGAUCAGCCACACUGGAACUGAGACACGGUCCAGACUCCUACGGGAGGCAGCAGUGGGGAAUUUUGGACAAUGGGCGCAAGCCUGAUCCAGCCAUGCCGCGUGAGUGAAGAAGGCCUUCGGGUUGUAAAGCUCUUUCGGUGAAGACGAAACGGUUAGCGCUAAUAACGCUGACUAAUGACGGUACUCACAGAAGAAGCACCGGCUAACUACGUGCCAGCAGCCGCGGUAAUACGUAGGGUGCAGGCGUUAAUCGGAAUUACUGGGCGUAAAGCGUGCGCAGGCGGUUUGCUAAGACAGGUGUGAAAUCCCCGAGCUUAACUUGGGAAUUGCGCUUGUAACUGGCAAGCUAGAGUGUGGCAGAGGGGGGUGGAAUUCCACGUGUAGCAGUGAAAUGCGUAGAUAUGUGGAGGAACACCGAUGGCGAAGGCAGCCCCCUGGGUUAACACUGACGCCCAUGCACGAAAGCGUGGGGAGCAAACAGGAUUAGAUACCCUGGUAGUCCACGCCCUAAACUAUGUCAACUAGUUG
RNAcentral lists this ribosomal RNA (819 nucleotides) under uncultured Denitratisoma sp. RNAcentral describes it as "bacterial SSU rRNA". It matches the Rfam family "Bacterial small subunit ribosomal RNA", at positions 8 to 822 of the family's 1533-position model. The record is from RNAcentral. Lineage: Bacteria; Pseudomonadati; Pseudomonadota; Betaproteobacteria; Nitrosomonadales; Sterolibacteriaceae.